AUUGAACGCUGGCGGCGUGCUUAACACAUGCAAGUCGAUCGGUAACAGGUGUAGCAAUACAUGCUGACGAGAGGCGGACGGGUGAGGAAUAUUUGGGAAUCUGCCCAUCAGCGGGGGACAACCCGGGGAAACCCGGGCUAAUACCGCAUACGCUCUACGGAGGAAAGCCGGGGACCGCAAGGCCUGGCACUGAUAGAUGAGCCCAAAUCGGAUUAGCUAGUUGGAGGGGUAACGGCCCACCAAGGCGACGAUCCGUGGCUGGACUGAGAGGACGGUCAGCCAGACCGGAACUGAGACACGAGCCAGACUCCUACGGGAGGCAGCAGUGGGGAGUAUUGGACAAUGGGGGAGACCCUGGACCAGCGACGGCGCGUGGGUGAAGAAGGCCUGCGGGUUGUAAAACCCUUUCGGUAGGGACGAAAGCUCUUGCUCUAAUAAGGCAAGAGGUUGACGUAACCUACAUAAGAAGCACCGGCUAACUCUGUGCCAGCAGCCGCCGUAA
Molecule: ribosomal RNA, 502 nt
Filed under: uncultured bacterium
Lineage: Bacteria
Description: partial 16S ribosomal RNA
Rfam family: Bacterial small subunit ribosomal RNA
Source: RNAcentral